This 497-nucleotide ribosomal RNA is filed under the name uncultured bacterium. Its description in RNAcentral is "partial 16S ribosomal RNA". It matches the Rfam family "Bacterial small subunit ribosomal RNA", at positions 28 to 507 of the family's 1533-position model. The record is from RNAcentral.
GAUGAACGCUGGCGGCGUGCCUAAUACAUGCAAGUCGAGCGAACAGACGAGGAGCUUGCUCCUCUGACGUUAGCGGCGGACGGGUGAGUAACACGUGGAUAACCUACCUAUAAGACUGGGAUAACUUCGGGAAACCGGAGCUAAUACCGGAUAAUAUAUUGAACCGCAUGGUUCAAUAGUGAAAGACGGUUUUGCUGUCACUUAUAGAUGGAUCCGCGCCGCAUUAGCUAGUUGGUAAGGUAACGGCUUACCAAGGCAACGAUGCGUAGCCGACUUGAGAGGGUGAUCGGCCACACUGGAACUGAGACACGGUCCAGACUCCUACGGGAGGCAGCAGUAGGGAAUCUUCCGCAAUGGGCGAAAGCCUGACGGAGCAACGCCGCGUGAGUGAUGAAGGUCUUCGGAUCGUAAAACUCUGUUAUUAGGGAAGAACAAAUGUGUAAGUAACUAUGCACGUCUUGACGGUACCUAAUCAGAAAGCCACGGCUAACUACGUG